AUGAGCAACUGGUCUUGGCGGCAAGAUUUGGUUAGGGAAACUUUCAUCGCCCCAGAUGUCGAAGCCAUUCUAAACAUCCCGAUCAGGCAAGGUGGAGGGGUUGAGGAUUCUUUUGCUUGGGCAUUCGAGAAAUCAGGCAACUACACUGUGAAGUCAGCGUACCGUGCUCUCAUGAAUCAGAACAAGCGUUUGGCUCUAGAGGAAGGGACGGUUACCGGAACCUCAGUAGACGAUCAGCAGCUGUGGAAAGCCUUGUGGAAACUGAAUGUCAUACCGAAAGUGAGGGUAUUCUGGUGGAGAGUUCUUCGUGGGAUUCUUCCGGAUGAAGCUACUCUCAACAAUCGUCAUAUUGCACCAAUUAGCCGGUGCAAAGUCUGCUUAGCGAUGAGGGAGGAUCUGGAGCAUGCUCUAAUCCAUUGUUCUCAUGCACAACGAUUCUGGGUGAGGCAUGCGCAUGGUUCGGUAUACGUCUACCACGCCUCCAUCCGGACUCAUGGGCUCGCGACAUCACUUGUGACACUAGGUUCUCUAAUGAUGACCGAGCCAAAAUUACCACUAUCAUGUGGUCAAUAUGGCACUCUCGGAACCGAGUCAAGCACAGCGAAGAGGGGAGGGAUCCAACAUCGACGAUCAGAGCUAUCAAGGAGGCCCUUGCCAUACUGCAACUUCCACGAAAGGCAGCCACUAUUUUACCUGGUUAUGGCUGGAGGCCACCUGAGGAUACUACUAUAA
RNAcentral lists this ribosomal RNA (732 nucleotides) under Triticum aestivum (bread wheat). RNAcentral describes it as "partial small subunit ribosomal RNA". The record is from RNAcentral. Lineage: Eukaryota; Viridiplantae; Streptophyta; Magnoliopsida; Poales; Poaceae.